AUUUGCUGCGGCGUGGAGCUGGUAUUCUAAGAGGAGGUGAAACUCAGGAGGAUGACAGAAAACAUGCGAGGGAGGCUGGUGUGGCUGAUUGUGCCUUAUCGUAAUGGCCUUUCCUCCUGCAGAGCCAAGAUAAGGCAUGCCUGCUGUUUAGAGACCACUCACUGCAGCUGUAAUGUUACACAACAUCUAGUGUUUCUUAAAUUUAAAAAACUCACUUCAAGAAUAAUGGGAGACAAUGAAACAUAGCUCUGCUGGUUGAAAGUAAUUCUGGAUCAUGAGUCCUUUUGUAAGUAUUGAACUGAGCACUCAAUAGGCUUUCCAUUUGUAUACUGCUUUAAUAUAUAUAUACAUGUUUUUUCCAAUACCACUUGCAGUUGCCUUGUUUUCUUAGGUGGCUCUUCUGAGG
Molecule: long non-coding RNA, 406 nt
Filed under: Gallus gallus (chicken)
Lineage: Eukaryota; Metazoa; Chordata; Aves; Galliformes; Phasianidae
Description: long non-coding RNA NONGGAT002506
Source: RNAcentral